GAAUGAGAAGGUGGAUGGAGAGCUAGAUAAACACGGAGGUUCACCUGAUCACAUGAUGAUCCGGGGAAAACAGUGUCUUGAAACCCUCAGCUAUACCUUGUGGGCAACAACCUGGGAAUGGGCUCUUUCAGGCAUAGUGACCAGACCACAACUGUAACAAAAUAAUACUUGCUGACUCUGGCAUGACCAGAAAUCGUAAUUUAGGUAGACACCUCAAUCAUACUCAAGCAUGUUGGCAACUGAAUUCUGGCUUUUUUGUGAAUGACUGACAUCUAGGAUUACUGGUACACAGUUUUACUAUAUACUAGGCAUGAAUGAUACAUGUAUCAUAUAAUUUAUUUGCUGAUAUUAAAGAUUAUUAAAUGAAUGAAUAACUUCAAGAAGGCAUUAGGGAAACUCGCUCUAAUUGGUUAUGUGGAUCCAGUUGUGGGAUCAGUGUUGCGUUUGAUAAAGAUCACACCGACACAGUAAGUAACAUCAACUUAUCAAAUUUUUUUUACUUCACUUCUGUGUCUUCAGACUCCAGUAGACGAACACAUACACUGGUCAGGCAUGACAGAAUGCUUUCAGCACAAUCAAACUCGAUGCAUCACUGAACACUAACUCAUUGCAUUAUCAAACAACACUUGUGAGAACACAACAGUCAGGGUGCUUUCCAUUGAUAGAGGUGGAAACAAGUAAGAAAACACCACAUUUAAUCAACAUACUCUACAGUAAAUGCCUGUAAAACUGGACAAAUAUCAUCCAAUACAUCUUACAGAAAAAGCAUUUAGGGAUGCUGAACAUCUGAGUAUUAAAAAAAAAGACAAUUGUUUUUGUCACUCUUAGAGAAACGUGUUUAUGCCAAGAUGGCUUUUACUUAAAGCUUUUUCUUGUAUUACAGAGGGUUUCACUACAAGUGUUAAAACAGCUGGAGACUCAAACAGGAAAACAAGUUCAUCCACUCUUUGACUAUGUGGAGUCAGCACUGGAGCAGUUCUGGCUUUCAUGUUGGGUCUAGAUCGUGUCUCUUUAGAUGAAUGUAAAGAGAUGUAUCAUCGUUUUGGGUCAGAUGUUUUUAUGUAGGCUGGAAAAUAUCAUCAGUAAAUGAGGAAGAUGAGCAUGUCCUUGCUGGACACACAAGACUGUGAAGGGCUGUGUUUUUUGAAAAGAUACAAAUCAUUGUUAGAGAAGUUAUCACAUAUAAACAGCCGUUUUAGACUGAAUUGAACACUUCUGCCAAUGUAAAUUCUGUAUGAAUGUCAAUAUUUAUUUAUUUAUUAUUUCUAUUUUUAGGUUUAUUAAAUUAAAGCUUAAAGCA
Molecule: long non-coding RNA, 1300 nt
Organism: Carassius carassius (crucian carp)
Lineage: Eukaryota; Metazoa; Chordata; Actinopteri; Cypriniformes; Cyprinidae
Exons: 2
Source: RefSeq, a predicted model, not a curated record